CUCGCCAGUUCAAUUCAGCUCUCAACGUGCAAGCGAGCAAUCUAGUGUCAUUAAAAGUCUUAAAGCUAAAGUUAGUAGUGUUAAUUGUGAAGAAGUUAUUAAAAAGCGGGUAGAGUGACCUAGCUUGGUCCAGCGCAUCUGAAACACUACAAAAUAAGUUGAAGUUAGAAGCAAGAAAAAGGUCCACAAAGGGGCCUUUUUCUUUGUAAUUAGCAGCUUUGUUCGGAGGAGGAACGCCAUCUUUAUUC
Aedes aegypti (yellow fever mosquito) is the source of this 248-nucleotide long non-coding RNA. RefSeq lists it as uncharacterized. The transcript is spliced from 4 exons. NCBI's taxonomy places the organism in Eukaryota, Metazoa, Arthropoda, Insecta, Diptera, Culicidae. The record is from RefSeq and is a predicted model, not a curated record.